CCUUGAUGUAGAUGUCUCAUAGCUCACAAAGGAGCAGGGCUAUUUAAAUAUUCAGGGAGCAAGCAGUGCCAGUGAGAGCAGAAGAGACCUUCCCCUUUAAAUGGGUGAAGGCCCAAUCUGCUCCAAAUGUAAAGAGGGAAAGGAGACAAGAAACCUGCUGUGGAAUAGGGUACGUGGCAAAACUCAAAGAGAGAUCUGAGAAGGACAGAAAGCAGGCAAAUCUCAAAAAUGUCUACUACUAAAAAAUCUGGGAAAAUUAUUAGUAAUAAAAUGAAAAAUGGAGCAGUAAUGCAAAAUCCCAUUGCUCUGCCCCGUUAUUGUGGCCCAAUUUCUGAUUAGAAGGAUUGGCAGUUCAUAUCAAUCAAACCUUUAAUUUUUUCUUCCCUUAUUUUUCCCGUUCUCCUCCUACGAUUAAGUUACAAGGAAUUUAUUUUAUUACUUAGGCACAAGUACAGUUUGAAAAAAAAAAAAAUAACAAUAAGGUAAUUUUUGUCUUUUUUCUCAUCAUGAAAUUAUUAUUCCUGGGGUUUUCUGUACCUACAGUGGGAAUAGGAGCCAAGACUCUCCUGUCAGAGCUUGCUACUAAUCCAUCAUGGUGUUGGAGAGUGAGAGGAUAGGCAGUGGUGAACAUGUUCCAGAUUGAAUAUAAGGAGAUAUAAAUUGAAUUCAUGGUUGCAUUUAUAAGGACAUAUCUGAUAAGGGCUUUGGGCCUUUGGGAGAGAGUGAGCGUUUCUCUUCAUAACACUGUAACCUUAAUCUACAGAGGAUCUUCCUUACGUUUUUUCUUAAAAUUUAACUGCGGAGCCUUAAUGGAUGUCACAUUUAGANNNNNNNNNNNNNNNNNNNNNNNNNNNNNNNNUGUGCAAAGCUGUUUGUCUCCCAGUCAGAGGCAAAUGGGAACGGCUGCUGGCAUGCCAAAGCAUUGCACUGAAGGAGACAGUCUGCAGGUAUUAGCUGGAGUGGCAAGAGCAUGGUCUGCCAAGGAACUUCUUCUGGAUAUGUCAUAUAGCAGGGAAAUUGUGAAGAACUUGCUGCUUUAAAAAGUAGUUUCAACCUCUCUGACUCUUGCAGCUUAUAAAAGCCUUAGAAAAGAGAUUGAGAACAUGAAUGGAGAGCUCACCAGGUCCAUGGGCAAUUGCUGCCAGCUCCUGGCCGCUGUGCACAGCGUCAUUUCUGUUCCUGAUUCUUUGUGGAUACAAACAUGCUUAAAUAGCUGCAAGUAAUAAAUGCUCACUUCAAGGAGGUCA
Molecule: long non-coding RNA, 1247 nt
Filed under: Phasianus colchicus (ring-necked pheasant)
Lineage: Eukaryota; Metazoa; Chordata; Aves; Galliformes; Phasianidae
Description: lncRNA (ENSPCLG00000021257.1)
Source: RNAcentral